This 98-nucleotide transfer RNA is filed under the name Streptomyces sp. PAN_FS17. It matches the Rfam family "tRNA". From Rfam's summary of the family: Transfer RNA (tRNA) molecules are approximately 80 nucleotides in length. Their secondary structure includes four short double-helical elements and three loops (D, anti-codon, and T loops). The record is from Rfam by way of RNAcentral. Lineage: Bacteria; Bacillati; Actinomycetota; Actinomycetes; Kitasatosporales; Streptomycetaceae. RNAcentral also lists the same sequence under 1 other name.
GGCCGUGUGCCCGAGUGGUUCAGGGAUUCGCCUGCACUGCAUCGAUCAGCGAGCUCCGCUCGCGGGGAAUUACGCGGGUUCGAUUCCCGCCACGGCCU